RNAcentral lists this small nucleolar RNA (156 nucleotides) under Cervus hanglu yarkandensis (Yarkand deer). RNAcentral describes it as "Small nucleolar RNA SNORA70 (ENSCHYG00000006447.1)". It matches the Rfam family "Small nucleolar RNA SNORA70". Rfam says of the family: snoRNA U70 seems to be exclusive to mammals and is a member of the H/ACA class of snoRNA which contain H (ANANNA) and ACA box motifs. H/ACA box snoRNAs are involved in the conversion of uridines to pseudouridines (5-ribosyluracil) a constituent of structural RNAs (transfer, ribosomal, small nuclear, and small nucleolar). The record is from Rfam by way of RNAcentral. Lineage: Eukaryota; Metazoa; Chordata; Mammalia; Artiodactyla; Cervidae.
UUGCAGCCAAUUAAGCCAACUGUGUUCAUUUCCCCAUGGAGGCCCAACGUGCAAUGGCUGCAAACAAUGCAGCCAUUGAGCAACGUGCAAUGGCUCCUCAGUAGUGUAUGUGGCCUAUUGCUUAUACCCGCUCCGUUAAGGAACUUGGAGACAGCC